GAACCUUGUGCCUAGAACAAAGGCACGCAUACCUAGGUGCGUAAGGCGCUAGGGUUCAAGCCUGGUGAGCCUUAAGCCUAAGGCGUACCUUUAAUAACUAUGGUGCAUGUUUUUGUAAAAAAUACAGACAAAAACAGACAAAAUGAUAUUACGAUAUCACAUGCUAGGAAUUUCUUACAAAGAAAACCAUGGAUGGUUAUGAAUGAUACAAAAUAGAACAGGCUUAGAAGUAUUCUAAAGUAUACUACUACUUCUACCUUAAAAAUGUUAUAAUAACAGAUACAGAAGAGAUGGGGACGGAAAUUAGUUAGAUGAACAAGCAACCACCUCAACCAACAGAAAAAUAACUGCAGCUACUCUUGAAGUGAAAUUAAACAAGCAAAGAAACAUAUUCAUCCUUUUGAGAAUGUUUCUCCAUUGGCUUAUUCUCAUUAGUCCACCAAUGACCUGGCAUUGCUCAUUACCCUAUUUAAUUUACUAAAUGUAAGUUCAUGACAACCUUCAAAUCUUUAAGUCCCACAUACAACUAUACAUUAAGCAUUCCAAAAAACUUGGCAUCGUGGCAUUUAUAACCUUAUCUAUCAAGGUUAAACAAUUUUCAUUUAAGCAUU
This 611-nucleotide unclassified non-coding RNA is filed under the name Hevea brasiliensis (rubber tree). Lineage: Eukaryota; Viridiplantae; Streptophyta; Magnoliopsida; Malpighiales; Euphorbiaceae. The record is from RNAcentral.